Molecule: ribosomal RNA, 501 nt
Filed under: uncultured bacterium
Lineage: Bacteria
Description: partial 16S ribosomal RNA
Rfam family: Bacterial small subunit ribosomal RNA
Source: RNAcentral
AUUGAACGCUGGCGGCAGGCUUAACACAUGCAAGUCGAGCGGGGGAAGGUAGCUUGCUACCGGACCUAGCGGCGGACGGGUGAGUAAUGCUUAGGAAUCUGCCUAUUAGUGGGGGACAACAUCUCGAAAGGGAUGCUAAUACCGCAUACGUCCUACGGGAGAAAGCAGGGGAUCUUCGGACCUUGCGCUAAUAGAUGAGCCUAAGUCGGAUUAGCUAGUUGGUGGGGUAAAGGCCUACCAAGGCGACGAUCUGUAGCGGGUCUGAGAGGAUGAUCCGCCACACUGGGACUGGAACACGGCCCAGACUGCUACGGGAGGCAGCAGUGGGGAAUAUUGGACAAUGGGGGGAACCCUGAUUCAGCCAUGCCGCGUGUGUGAAGAAGGCCUUAUGGUUGUAAAGCACUUUAAGCGAGGAGGAGGCUACUCUAGUUAAUACCUAGGGAUAGUGGACGUUACUCGCAGAAUAAGCACCGGCUAACUCUGUGCCAGCCGCCGCCGUAA